RNAcentral lists this transfer RNA (71 nucleotides) under Salmo salar (Atlantic salmon). It matches the Rfam family "tRNA". From Rfam's summary of the family: Transfer RNA (tRNA) molecules are approximately 80 nucleotides in length. The record is from Rfam by way of RNAcentral. Lineage: Eukaryota; Metazoa; Chordata; Actinopteri; Salmoniformes; Salmonidae.
UCCCGUGUGCCUCAGUUGGUAGAGCAUGGCACUUACAAUGCCAGGGUUGUGGGUUUGAUUCCCACGGGGAA